This 74-nucleotide transfer RNA is filed under the name Rattus norvegicus (Norway rat). RNAcentral's name for it is "tRNA-Pro-AGG-13-1". The record is from RNAcentral. Lineage: Eukaryota; Metazoa; Chordata; Mammalia; Rodentia; Muridae.
UUGGGGAUUUGGCUCAGUGGUAGAGCAUUUGCCUAGGAACCGCAAGGUCCUGGGUUCCGUCCCCAGCCCCCAAA